CGUAGAAAAAGGCAAAGCCCCCGAAAGGCGGCGACGCAAAGCUACUGGUCUAAGGGACAUCGUCCUACGAUCGCAGGGCUACCUGA
Molecule: non-coding RNA, 86 nt
Filed under: Chromatiales bacterium
Lineage: Bacteria; Pseudomonadati; Pseudomonadota; Gammaproteobacteria; Chromatiales
Description: c-di-GMP sequence
Rfam family: c-di-GMP-I riboswitch aptamer
About the family: GEMM was predicted in a large-scale screen for bacterial structured RNA regulatory elements. Genes associated with GEMM are involved in a diverse array of functions, including chemotaxis regulation, signal transduction, secretion and chitin.
Source: RNAcentral